RNAcentral lists this long non-coding RNA (1168 nucleotides) under Cyanistes caeruleus (blue tit). RNAcentral's name for it is "lncRNA (ENSCCEG00000023314.1)". The record is from RNAcentral. Lineage: Eukaryota; Metazoa; Chordata; Aves; Passeriformes; Paridae.
AUGACUAAAGAUCGCAGCACAGAGCUGUGGUGGAGCUCAUGGGCCCACACCCCCUGCCUGAGACUCCCCAGAGCAUUCCACAUCCAGCCCUGUGCUCUGGAAGCUUUCAAAGAGAGGGAUAUAUCCCCUCCUCCACUAUCUUCCUGCCCCUCCUCAGAAAGACCAGAAGUCCAUCAGGAAUGUCCAUCCUCUCUUCUGCAGGAAUCUUUGGACUUCAUCCCUGUGAUGAAAUCAACUACAAGAAAUGAGUUAAUGUUUGACCAGGAUCACACAAGCUGCACAAGGAAACCAUGUGCCAGACCUUCUCUUCCUCCUUAUUUGCCUUACAAGGAACCACUGCAUCCCAGCUGAAAACGCCUCAGUGGGUGCAAGGUAUGUCUGUGAGGACACGUAUUGUCAGUCCAUGCCUGUAUCCUCUGGGCUGGAGCCAGGAGCAGGGAUUAGAUGAACUCCCAAGCAGACCUGUCUAGCAUGGUGGAGCUUCAUGGACACUUCUGCACAUGGAUAAAAGGUAAAGCAAUUUUUAAUAAUUUAAGAGUUUUUUAACUACAAAAGCAUUUUCUUUGGGCCAGGAAACACUUCCUUUUUUGUCUGCAGGGUUUGAUACAGUAGAUUUUGUGCAGACACAUCUUCUGUUACUAAUAGUGCUGGAUGCACAUAAAGCACUCUCAUACUGUACUGAAGACAUGAGUAACAAACCUAUCAACUGCACUUGCACUUACACCGUAUUUAAUCCUGCUCUGGUUGUUCUGCUACAUAUUCAUAAAAAACAAAAAGGAAACAGAAGCACAGAGCAAGCCAACAGAUGUCUACCUGGCUCUUAAUUGGAUUUUAUGUGUCCCCAGUGUAGCAAAUACAGCAUUAUUUACAGCCAGGCUCUAAGAAUUAGAUAUAUCUGGAGGAGUGGCAAAACCUGAACCAGGCUACAAGAGUUGAUGGAUUAACUGAAAUGAAGAGCUGCCCCAUUUUUCCCUUCUUAUCUUUUCCCUUCCCACUUAUGUACCCGUUCCCCAUUGUGUAUCAAAUCAAACUAAGAUAUUGCCCAAGAGAAUGCUUAUAAAAAUGAAAAAUGCCAACAAAAAAAAGAAUUUCUGCUCUUAGGGAGCUUCAUCAGCAUUUUCUAAUUGUACAGCAAUGAUGAUAAUAAAAAGGCUGCCCUGUGCUCUCA